CCUACGGGUGACAGCAGUGGGGAAUAUUGCGCAAUGGGCGAAAGCCUGACGCAGCGACGCCGCGUGAGGGAUGAAGGUCUUCGGAUCGUAAACCUCUGUCAGCAGGGAAGAACGGUCACUGUGCUAAUCAGCAGGGAAUUGACGGUACCUGCAACGGAAGCACCGGCUAACUCCGUGCCAGCAGCCGCGGUAAUACGGAGGGUGCGAGCGUUAAUCGGAAUUACUGGGCGUAAGGCGCUCGUAGGCGGUAUGUCAAGUCAAGGGUGAAAUCCCCGCGCUCAACGUGGGAACUGCCUUUGAAACUGGCAAACUGGAAUGUGUGUGAGGAUAGUGGAAUUCCAGGUGUAGGAGUGAAAUCCGUAGAUAUCUGGAGGAACAUCAGUGGCGAAGGCGACUAUCUGGCACAUAACUGACGCUGAGGAGCGAAAGCGUGGGUAGCAAACAGGAUUAGAUACCCUAGUAGUC
This 465-nucleotide ribosomal RNA is filed under the name uncultured bacterium. RNAcentral's name for it is "partial 16S ribosomal RNA". It matches the Rfam family "Bacterial small subunit ribosomal RNA", at positions 338 to 795 of the family's 1533-position model. The record is from RNAcentral.